UACGGAAGGCAGCAGGGGGAAGUAUUGCACAAUGGGCGCAAGCCUGAUGCAGCCAUGCCGCGUGUAUGAAGAAGGCCUUCGGGUUGUAAAGUACUUUCAGUCGUGAGGAAGGUGUUAAGGUUAAUAACCUUAGCAAUUGACGUUAGCGACAGAAGAAGCACCGGCUAACUCCGUGCCAGCAGCCGCGGUAAUACGGAGGGUGCGAGCGUUAAUCGGAAUUACUGGGCGUAAAGGGCACGCAGGCGGUUAAUUAAGUUGGAUGUGAAAUCCCCGGGCUUAACCUGGGAAUGGCAUUCAAGACUGGUUAGCUAGAGUCUUGUAGAGGGGGUAGAAUUCCAUGUGUAGCGGUGAAAUGCGUAGAGAUGUGGAGGAAUACCGGUGGCGAAGGCGGCCCCUGGACAAAGACUGACGCUCAUGUGCGAAAGCGUGGGGAGCAAACAGGGAUUAGAUGCC
RNAcentral lists this ribosomal RNA (453 nucleotides) under uncultured bacterium. RNAcentral's name for it is "bacterial SSU rRNA". It matches the Rfam family "Bacterial small subunit ribosomal RNA", at positions 340 to 786 of the family's 1533-position model. The record is from RNAcentral.